CAACCUGGUUGAUCCUGCCAGUGGUAUAUGCUUGUCUCAAGGACUAAGCCAUGCAAGUGCCAGUAUGAGUGAAUAACGUAUAACGAAACUGCGAAUGGCUCGGUAAAACAGCAAUAGUUUCUUCGGGGGUAAUACUACUUGGAUAACCGUAGUAAUUCUAGAGCUAAUACGCGUGCCUUAAAGCAAUGUUUUCAUAUGAAGAUGUUGUGGUACAAAGAUUAGAUACAAGCCAAAUUUAUUUGGUGAUUCAAACUUUUUUUCUGAUCGCACUUUUUGUGCGACUCCCCGAUCAAAUUUCUGACCUAUCAACUAUGAUGGUAAGGUGUAGUCUUACCAUGGUUGUGACGGGUAACGGACCGUGGGUGCGGGAUUCCGGAGAGGGAGCCUGAGAAACGGCUACCACAUCCAAGGAAGGCAGCAGGCGCGUAACUUACCCAAUCCGGACACCGGGAGGUAGUGACAAUAAAUAUUAAUAGGGGGCCCGAUGGGCUUCCUAAUUGGAAUGAGAACAAUGUAAACGGCUUAUCGAGGAGCCAGCAGAGGGCAAGUCUGGUGCCAGCAGCCGCGGUAAUUCCAGCUCUGUAAGCGUAUACCAAAGUUGUUGCAGUUAAAACGCUCGUAGUCGAAAUUUGGCAUCCUUCGUGGGACGUCCGUGAGGGCGGAUUCGCGUCGGUUGCCUUUGUGGAAGGCGGUUUGGCGGUACUUUGUUGUAUCGUCAUUGUUGCAGCCACCUUUUACUGUGAAAAAAUUAGAGUGUUCAAAGCAAGCGUUUGCCCUGAAUAUAUUAGCAUGGAAUAAUAGAAUAGGACCUGGUCUUAUUUUUUUGGUUUGUGAAUAUCAGGUAAUGAUUAAGAGGGACGGUUGGGGGCAUUUGUAUUCCAGCGCUAGAGGUGAAAUUCUUGGAUUGCUGGAAGACAAACAGCUGCGAAAGCGUCUGCCAAGGACGUUUUCAUUGAUCAAGAACGAAAGUAAGGGGAUCGAAGACGAUCAGAUACCGUCGUAGUCUUUACUAUAAACGAUGAUGACUGGGGAUCGGACAUGGCAAUUUGGUAUGUUCGGCACCCUCCGGGAAACCAAAGUAUUUGAUUUCUGGGGGGAGUAUGGUCGCAAGGCUGAAACUUAAAGGAAUUGACGGAAGGGCAUCACUGGGUGUGGAGCCUGCGGCUUAAUUUGACUCAACACGGGAAAACUUACCAGGUUAGGACAUUAUAAGGAUUGACAGAUUGAGAGCUCUUUCUUGAUUCAAUGGUUGGUGGUGCAUGGCCGUUCUUAGUUGGUGGAGUGAUCUGUCUGGUUAAUUCCGUUAACGAGCGAGACCUGGGCGUGCUAGCUAGGCGCUAUUACCUUUUUGGUAGUAAGGCGGCCUUCCUAGACGGACUGCAGGCGUCUAGUCUGUGGAAGCUCCAGGCAAUAACAGGUCUGAGAUGCCCUUAGAUGUUCUGGGCCGCACGCGUGCUACAAUGAGUGGAUCAACGGGUGAGGUAGUGCGAAAGCAUGACCCAAUCUCAAAAUCCGCUCGUGCUGGGGAUAGAAGCUUGCAAUUUCCCUUCUUGAACGAGGAAUACCUUGUAAGCGUGGGUCAUCAUCCCGCGCUGAAUACGUCCCUGCCCUUUGUACACACCGCCCGUCGCUCCUACCGAUUGAGUGGUCCGGUGAGGCCUUGGGAGAGUUGGUAGGACUGUGUUUCACGGACCCUCUGGCUCAAACUUGGUCAAACCUUAUCACUUAGAGGAAGGAGAAGUCGUAACAAGGUUUCCGUAGGUGAACCUGCAGAGGAUCAAGCU
RNAcentral lists this ribosomal RNA (1784 nucleotides) under Cryptopleura ramosa. RNAcentral describes it as "SSU rRNA". It matches the Rfam family "Eukaryotic small subunit ribosomal RNA". The record is from RNAcentral. Lineage: Eukaryota; Rhodophyta; Florideophyceae; Ceramiales; Delesseriaceae.